CCAUUUUUAAACCAGGAGGUCCCUGUGUCGAGUGGUGCAGAUUUCAUCGUGUCAGAGGAGAGCUGGAUAGUCACCAACGCCCAAGUCCUCUCCUAAAAGCAGAUAAUCAAAGUGGAGCUGAAGAGCUGUGUCCAAUAAGAUGCCUCCAUCAAGGACGUGGAAUCAAAAUUGAGUCGGAUAAUACACUGCCAGUGCUUCUGCUGGGCCACUCGUCUGACCUGCGGCCGGGGGAGUUUGUGGUGGCCGUGGGCAGUCCCUUCUCCCUGCAGAACACGGUCACCACAGGCAUCAGCACAGCCCGUAAGAACGGCCUGGAGCUGGGACUCAAAGACUUACAUGGAGUACAUCCAGACGGACGCCAUCAUCAACAUAAGUCGUAGUCUGCGACUCAAAUGGCGCCCUAUUCCAUGUAUAUUGCACUACUUUUGACCAGAGCCCUAUGGGCCUUGUUGAAAAGUAGUGCACUAUAUAGGAAAUAGGGUGCCAUUUAGGAUGUACAGGUGAAACAUGGCUGGCAAGCAGCAGUAUUUGUAGCAUUAUAUUACUGCAUGUGCAUCUCUUUACAUAUCAUUACAUAUUGUACACUCUUAGAAAGAAAGCUGCUAUCUAGAACCUAAAAGGGUUCUUCGGCUGUCCCCAUAGGAGAACGCUUUGAAGAACCCUUUUGGUUCCAGGUAGAAAAAAGGGUGCUCCUAAAAGGGUACUCCUAAGGGGACAGCCGGAGAGCCCUUUUGGAACCUUUUUUUCUAAGAGUGUAUGUCUCCAUCAUCUCUUCUUGUCUCUGUUCUGAAUUUAACAUUGCAGUGCAAUACAAUGGCCGUUAACUUUUGUUUACUGCUCUGUUCUUUUACACUUUGGCAACUCAGGGGGACCACUUGUUAGGGGAUUUACUGCUUGAGAUUGUAUUUGAGAGGAAUGUUAUAUGUAAUCAGCAUAUUUGUAAUGCUGUCCUCUGACACGAUGGUUAUCAAGGCUAUUAUACUAGACUCUGGUCCAGAUCUCUGCUACACUCAAGCCAGCAGCCACCCACAGGCAGGUUUCUGAUUACUUCCUCUUCCUGGCUACACCCCACAUGGCGCAGGUUAGCGUUUUCCGUCCUGGAGGCAGCUCUGCAGAGUGGUCACUAGCUGGCACAGCUACAAAGGCAUAACAUCUGAUUGAACCACACUGCUAACCCUAAUGACUAACCCUAACCUUA
Coregonus clupeaformis (lake whitefish) is the source of this 1198-nucleotide long non-coding RNA. RefSeq lists it as uncharacterized. The record is from RefSeq and is a predicted model, not a curated record. The transcript is spliced from 3 exons. NCBI's taxonomy places the organism in Eukaryota, Metazoa, Chordata, Actinopteri, Salmoniformes, Salmonidae.